GUCUUCGUGGUGUAGUGGUCAACACACUCGGCGCGUAUUCGAGAGGUACGUGGUUCGAAUCCCGGCGAGGGCA
Molecule: transfer RNA, 73 nt
Filed under: Stegodyphus mimosarum
Lineage: Eukaryota; Metazoa; Arthropoda; Arachnida; Araneae; Eresidae
Rfam family: tRNA
About the family: Transfer RNA (tRNA) molecules are approximately 80 nucleotides in length. Their secondary structure includes four short double-helical elements and three loops (D, anti-codon, and T loops). Further hydrogen bonds mediate the characteristic L-shaped molecular structure. tRNAs have two regions of fundamental functional importance: the anti-codon, which is responsible for specific mRNA codon recognition, and the 3' end, to which the tRNAs corresponding amino acid is attached (by aminoacyl-tRNA synthetases). tRNAs cope with the degeneracy of the genetic code in two manners: having more than one tRNA (with a specific anti-codon) for a particular amino acid; and 'wobble' base-pairing, i.e. permitting non-standard base-pairing at the 3rd anti-codon position.
Source: Rfam by way of RNAcentral